Molecule: ribosomal RNA, 1334 nt
Filed under: Potebniamyces pyri
Lineage: Eukaryota; Fungi; Ascomycota; Leotiomycetes; Phacidiales; Phacidiaceae
Description: LSU rRNA
Rfam family: Eukaryotic large subunit ribosomal RNA
Source: RNAcentral
AUUGCCUCAGUAACGGCGAGUGAAGCGGCAACAGCUCAAAUUUGAAAUCUGGCCCUUUCAGGGUCCGAGUUGUAAUUUGUAGAGGAUGUUUCGGGUGUGGCUCCGGUCUAAGUUCCUUGGAACAGGACGUCAUAGAGGGUGAGAAUCCCGUAUGUGACUGGUAGCCUACGCCCAUGUGAAACUCCUUCGACGAGUCGAGUUGUUUGGGAAUGCAGCUCAAAAUGGGUGGUAAAUUUCAUCUAAAGCUAAAUAUUGGCCAGAGACCGAUAGCGCACAAGUAGAGUGAUCGAAAGAUGAAAAGCACUUUGGAAAGAGAAGUUAAACAGUACGUGAAAUUGUUGAAAGGGAAGCGGCUUGCAACCCAGACUUGGCAUGUAGGCUGAUCAACCGGUGUUCUCACCCGGGUGCACUCAGUUGCGUUCAGGCCAGCAUCGGUUUCGACGGUUUGGAUAAAGGCCCUGGGAAUGUAGCUCCUCUCGGGGAGUGUUAUAGCCCCAGGGUGCAAUGCAGCCUGUCGGGACCGAGGACCGCGCUUCGGCUAGGAUGCUGGCGUAAUGGUUGUAAGCGACCCGUCUUGAAACACGGACCAAGGAGUCUAACAUCUAUGCGAGUGUUUGGGUGUCAAACCCAUACGCGUAAUGAAAGUGAACGGAGGUGAGAACCCUUAAGGGUGCAUCAUCGACCGAUCCUGAUGUCUUCGGAUGGAUUUGAGUAAGAGCAUAGCUGUUGGGACCCGAAAGAUGGUGAACUAUGCCUGAAUAGGGUGAAGCCAGAGGAAACUCUGGUGGAGGCUCGCAGCGGUUCUGACGUGCAAAUCGAUCGUCAAAUUUGGGUAUAGGGGGCGAAAGACUAAUCGAACCAUUGACCCGUGUGUCACCGGCGGACGGGAGCGCGUCUCCCGCCCGGCCGUCGGAUAUUACUAGGUGGUUAAGAGGCGCAGUUCAAAGCUGCGCCUAGUCCUGUGUAAGGGGCGAAACCUCCAAAUUGCGGGGACACCCUAAAGCCCCGGAACCCCAAGCUGCCCUCGAAAGUCGGCAGUGGCCGCAGCUAAUCACUGCGGGUAUGGGAACAGCGUCCGGGGAUAAAUAGUAUGGGCGAUCCGCAGCCAAGCUCCUCUCGGGCGACCGACUGUGAGAAGGUUCAUCGACUAGACGGUGGUUGGUCAUCUGGGGCACCGCCCCAGACGGCUUAAGGUAUAGUCAGGCCUGCAGGAGACUGCAGCGGGACGACGAAGGACUGGCGUUACACCGCACGACCCGUGCGCGCCAGGUUGAUCUUGCAUCAUUCACCCCGAAUCGCCCCGGCCGACCGCGUCUCUCCGGAGCGCGGGCGGC